UUCAGCUCAGCACUGACACUGUCUGCCAUUACAGGUUCCAGGCAAAACGAACUCCCUGUGGUUGCGCAGUCACACCCCGCACUUCUUCCCUCUAUUCCUUCGCGAGCACUCCCCCCGCCCCCCCGGAAGGCUGGGCUUCCUCCUCUCCGUAGCCUGCCCUGGCCUGGGCCGCCCCACUUUGGACUCUGAACUACCACCGGUGCUCCAUUUCUGUCACUUACGGCACAUGCUACCUUUUUUUGCUUGGUGCUGUAAAUGUCAGUACUGCGUUCAUAACAUCACCUCUUCCUAAGGUACUGUGAUUAUCCCCACUGUAGAGAUAAGGAAGUUGAGGCUGAGAGAGUCACAGAACUUGCCCAAGGGCAUCAUCACGGAGUGCGAAGCUGAGCUGCAGGCCCAGAAAUGAACAAGUUGAUCCUAAAAUUCAUAUGGAAAUGCAAGGGACCCAGAAUAGCCAAAACGAUCUUGCAAAAGAAGUACAAAGUUGGAGGGCUCACACUUCCCAAUUCAGAAACUUACUACCAAGCUGCAGUAAUCAAGACAGGGUGAUACUGGCAUUAAGACAGACAUGUAGAUCAAUGGAAAGAAAGUCUAGAAAUACACCUAUAAAUCUAUUAUCAAAUGAUUUUUGAGAGGGAUGCCAAGACUCUUGUGGGGAGAGAAUAAUCUUUUCAGUAAAUGAUGUUGGGACUUAGAAGAAAACCGGUCUACAUCGUCAUGACCUUGGACUGGGCAACAGUUUCUUAGACAUGACAUCAAAAGCACAAGCAACCAAAGGAAAAAUAGAGUACACUUCAUCAAAAAUAAAAAUGUUUGUGUGUCAAAGGACACGAUCAAGAAAGUGAAAAGACAACCCACAGAAUGGGAAAAACUCUUUGCAAAUCAUAUAUAAGACAAGGGGCUGGUACUCAGAACAUAUGAAAAACUCUUACAACUCAAUAAUAAAAAGACAAGACAAUUUAAAAACACACAAAGGAUUUGAAUGGAUCUUUAUCCAAAGAAAAUAUACAAGUGGCCAAUAAGUGGCCAUCUUUCACAAGAGAAGAUGCUCAACAUCGUUAGUCAGUCAUUACGGAGAUGCAUAUUAAAAACCACUGUGAAGGGGCUUCCCUGGUGGCGCAGUGGUUGAGAGUCCGCCUGCCGAUGCAGGGGACGCGGGUUCGUGCCCCGGUCCGGGAGGAUCCCACGUGCCGCGGAGCGGCUGGGCCCGUGGGCCAUGGCCGCUGGGCCUGCGCGUCCGGAGCCUGUGCUCCGCAAUGGGAGAGGCC
This is a long non-coding RNA of Globicephala melas (long-finned pilot whale), 1268 nucleotides long. RefSeq lists it as uncharacterized. NCBI's taxonomy places the organism in Eukaryota, Metazoa, Chordata, Mammalia, Artiodactyla, Delphinidae. The record is from RefSeq and is a predicted model, not a curated record.